GGUCAAGUUAAAAAGAGCACUAGGAGAAUGCCUAGGCACCAAGAGGCGAUGAAGGACGUGACAAGCUGCGAAAAGCUACGAAGAGGAGCAAAUAUCUUAUGACUCGUAGAUAUCCGAAUGGGGAAACCCACCGCAAGGUAUCCUAUAACCAAUUCAUAACUAUAGGAAGCGAACCAGGUGAACUGAAACAUCUAAGUAACCUGAGGAAAAGAAAGAAAACUCGAUUCCCAAAGUAGCGGCGAGCGAACAGGGAAGAGCCCAAAGUGUAAAAAGAGAAAAUAGCUAGUCGAAUAAUCUGGGAAGAUAAACCAAAGAAGGUAACAGUCCUGUAGACGAAAGCGAAAAUAUCCGACACAAAAGAGUACCACGGAACACGAGAAAUUCGGUGGGAACAUGGGGGGACCACCCCCUAAGGCUAAAUACUACUUGGUGACCGAUAGCGAACAAGUACCGUGAGGGAAAGGUGAAAAGAACCCCGGGAGGGGAGUGAAAUAGAAUCUGAAACCUAGUGUUUACAAGCAGCGAAAGUGGCAUAAGCCACGAUCGUGUACUUUUUGUAGAACGGGCCAGCGAGUUACGAUUAUUAGCAAGGUUAAACAUUACAGAUGUGGAGCCGCAGCGAAAGCGAGUCUUAAUAGGGCAGAAGUUAAUAGUCGUAGACCCGAAACCGUGUGAUCUAUCCAUGGGCAGAGUGAAGUUGAAGUAAAAUUCAAUGGAGGCUCGAACCGGGUAGCGUUUAAAAGCUAUCGGAUGACCUGUGGAUAGGGGUGAAAAGCCAAACGAACACGGAGAUAGCUGGUUCUCCUCGAAAUAGCUUUAGGGCUAGCCUCUAGUGGAAACGUGAAAAGGGGGUAGAGCACUGAAUGGUCAAGGGGCAUGCAUAUGUUACCGAGACCUAUCAAACUCCGAAUACCAUAUCACGCACUAGGGAGUCAGACUAUGUGGGAUGAGCUUCAUAGUCGAAAGGGAAAGAGCCCAGACCAUCAGCUAAGGUCCCAAAAUUAUAGUUAAGUGGGAAAGGAUGUGGAGUUACUGAGACAACUAGGAUGUUGGCUUAGAAGCAGCCACUCAUUCAAAGAGUGCGUAAUAGCUCACUAGUCAAGUGACUCUGCGCCGAAGAUAACCGGGGCUAAACUAUAUACCGAAGCUAUGGAACGUAUAACGUUGGUAGAGGAGCAAUGUAUGAAGGACGAAGCAGAAGUCGUAAGGCACUGUGGACACCAUACAAGAGAGAAUGCUGGCAUGAGUAGCGAGAGGUGAGUGAGAAUCUCACCCGUCGAAAACCCAAGGAUUCCUGAGCAAGGCUCGUCCACUCAGGGUAAGUCGGGACCUAAGGCGAGGCUGAAAAGCGUAGUCGAUGGACAACAGGUUGAAAUUCCUGUACCGAUACAAUCAUUAAAGGAAGUGGGGACGCAGGAGGAAAGUAAGAGCGCCCAGUUGGUGAGGCGUGCAAGCGCAAAGUCUGGAAAGUAGGCAAAUCCGCUUUCCGAAAAGGAUGAAGCGUGAUGCGGAUCGAAAACAAGUAGAGAAGCUUACGAAUCCACACUGCCGAGAAAAGCCACUACAAGAGAAGUAUCGCCCGUACCGUAAACCGACACAGGUAGGUGAGGAGAGAAUCCUAAGACGAGCGGAAAAACCUUUGUUAAGGAACUCGGCAAAAUGACCCCGUAACUUCGGGAGAAGGGGAGCCCCUGUAACAGGGGGCCGCAGUGAAAAGGCCCAAGCGACUGUUUACCAAAAACACAAGUUUCUGCAAAGUCGAAAGACGAAGUAUAGGAGCUGACACCUGCCCGGUGCUGGAAGGUUAAGGGAAAAAGUUAGCGCAAGCGAAGCUUAGAACUGAAGCCCCAGUAAACGGCGGCCGUAACUAUAACGGUCCUAAGGUAGCGAAAUUCCUUGUCGGGUAAGUUCCGACCCGCACGAAAGGUGUAACGAUUUGGG
This 1941-nucleotide ribosomal RNA is filed under the name Ligilactobacillus animalis. RNAcentral's name for it is "partial 23S ribosomal RNA". It matches the Rfam family "Bacterial large subunit ribosomal RNA", at positions 1 to 2013 of the family's 2925-position model. The record is from RNAcentral. Lineage: Bacteria; Bacillati; Bacillota; Bacilli; Lactobacillales; Lactobacillaceae.